UAAUCAGGGCAGCAAUCCGAAUUUUCCUUCUCACAGAAUCUGUCACAGUAACACCAUGCGUUUGCCUCGUAGAACCGGGUGACACAGUCAUCAUUUCUGCCUUCACAGCAGCCAAACCUCCUACAGUACUGUCCUUGUGACUGAACCCAGGCUUCCCUGCAGUGGCCGCGGCUCUGCCAUUCCUGUCCCCGCAGCUCUAGGUCAUCCCUGUGCACACUGGCUUGACUUCCCAUCUGCACCGACCACCAGGAGCAUUUUGACUUCAAGGCUCAGAAGAGCCCUAUUCACCUAGAAGCUCCCCGAGGAUGACCUUAGUUCUCUCUACUGAGCACCUGCCCAGUGCCAGUGCGAACCGGCAGUCUGGAGGCGGACGACGGCCAAGAAAAGUCAGUUCUGCCCGCUAAGAGGUUUGGAGAAGGAGCUGGGAAGCAAAUGCAAAGUCGAGACACCUUCAGUAUUUCUGCAGAGCCUCCCUUGGCAGUGAGUUUUCCUCAGCUGUAUUUAUUUAUUAACCACAAUAACCCCCUGCGACAGGGGAUAAGCAACCAGCAGAUGAAUCAGCAACAGUGGCCAGGCGUCUCAGCAAUCGGAAUCACGGACACUGGUCCCUAAGUGCUAUUUAAUUGGCUCUAUGAACUUAUUUGGGAUCACCACUUAUUUCUUUGGUUUUCCUUAUUUUCUCUAAACGAAGAGUCUUUUCUAAGGUUAUUCAAAUCUCCACACUUUUCCCCUGACCUCGUCCCCAUUUCCUGCCCACUCAUACUUUGAUCCUGGCUAUGCCGCUUAUGGCGAGCACCUCCCUCGCAUGAUAUAACUUGUAAGUCUGUAUUUUUCAGUUCUGCAUCAUCUUUGUGUCACUUUGUGUCACAGCUCCCUUGUCUUUUCCGUCCAGGGACUAACACAUGCCUCUGUUCCCUGCCAUCUACUUUAUCACUGACCACUGCAAAACACUGCUUAUGUCCUCAGUUACCUUUACCAGUGACCUCCUAGCGUCCCGCCCAUGGACACGUGUCCAUCUUUGCAGUAUGAAAGUCUUCUGCAGCACCCUGAGAGGGUGAUCCGAAGUGUACUACAGGAGGCAUAAGAAGGGUGGGAAAGCAAGUCAGCUGUGGGAGGGGAGGUUCACUUCCUUGGUCAUGGUGAUUAUUCCACUAUGUAUAUGUUGAUUUAUGAAGUUGUACAUUUUAUGCACAUACUAUUUUUAUUCACCGAUUAUUGUCAGUGUAGCUGGGAAGAAAUGAUGGGAGCAGAAGAAUUACACUAGUGGAAUCCACAUCCUGCUUCUAACACUGACUGUGAGCAUGGCUCUUAAAAUAACUUGCCUACCUCAAUGCCUGAGUUUCUGCAUCUGUAAAAUUUGGAUGAAAGUAUCAAAUAAUUUAGAUAGCAUUAUAAACGAGAUGGGGGACUUAAUGAGAUCACACAAAAUACUUAGCAUAUCACAUGUGCUAAAUAAAGGUAAUCAUUUAAUCAUUAAGCUUAACCUUACCUAGAAAUUCGUUCUAUGAUUUUGUUCUCUUCUAAUUUUCUUGUCAUUUUUCAUAUAAGUGCACCAAAGUAUCUGCUCACUCUGGGACACCUUUCCUUCCCUUCCUAAUAAUAUAUGUAGGAUGUUUCCACCUUUCGCCUUGAGAACUGACAGCCUCCUCAGCCCCUGGGCAACUUCCCUCUAACUAGCUACAUAUCUAUCAUCUAUCUAUCGGACAAGAAAAAAUUGGGUAGACUUACAACUGUAUGAUGGAUUUUAAAACAUGUACACUGUAUAUAUUUUACAUCAUAGAAUAGCUAAAUCAAGCUACUUGAUAUGUGCAUUGCAUGUAUUUUUCAUUUCCUUUGUGAUUAGAAUACUUAAAAAUCUGCUCUCAGGACUUCUGAUGCAUCCAAUAUACUGUUAAUUAUAGCUACUGUGAAGCGAAAUGCAUCUUUGAGCUCCUCCUUCUCGUCUCACUGAGACUUUGUGUCCUGACCAACAUCUCCCCAGUUUCCCAGUCCAGCCCAGCCUCUGACAAUCACCAUUUUCACUCCGUUCUUUCAAAUUGUGCUUGUUCACAGUGCACACGUAAAUCAUACCACACAGGGCUUUUACUUCAGUGUCUACUUCACUUGAGAUAAUAUCCCCAGAUUCACUCGGGCUGACACAAAGGGAAAGAAUUCCUUCCUUUUAAUACUGCCUAGUAUCUCACUGUGUAGAUGGAACAUUUUCCUUCUCCGUUCAUGCGCUGAUGGCACAAUGGUUGAUUUCAUAACUCAGCUUUGUGAACAGUGCUGCGAUAAACCGAUGUCUUCAGUGCAAUGAGUGUAUAUCUUUUGAAUAUAUACCUGGAGCUAGGACAGACUGGUGAUAGAUAGAUAGAUAGAUAGAUAGAUAGAUAGAUAGAUAGAUAGAUAAUCCUAUAUCCCUUUCAGUAAGAUUCCUAGAUCACUUAGUAGCUAUGUCUUUAGUUUUUUGUGGAACCUCAAUAUUGUUUUCAAAAAUGACUAUUCUAAUUUACAUUCCCACCAACAACAUAAAAGUGUCAAAGUUUCCAUUUUAUCCAUAUUUUAAUCUAUAUUUGUUAAGUUUUGGUCAUAGACAUUCUUCCAGAGAUGAGGUAAUGUUUUUAACUUGAAUUGUCCUGAUGACUGGUAAUGUUGGACAUUGUUUUAUAUAUUUGUUGGCCAUUUGCAUGUUGUCUUUUGAGAAAAGUCUAUUGUGUUUUGCUCAAUUAUAAGUAGGAUUUUUUUUCUUCCUGUUGACUUAGCCCAGUUCCUUUUGUGUUUCUAUAUGAAUCCCUUACCAAAUAUAUGGUUUACUAAUGUUUUCUCCCA
Long non-coding RNA from Cavia porcellus (domestic guinea pig), 2808 nucleotides. RefSeq lists it as uncharacterized. The record is from RefSeq and is a predicted model, not a curated record. NCBI's taxonomy places the organism in Eukaryota, Metazoa, Chordata, Mammalia, Rodentia, Caviidae. The transcript is spliced from 2 exons.